This 455-nucleotide ribosomal RNA is filed under the name uncultured bacterium. RNAcentral describes it as "SSU rRNA". It matches the Rfam family "Bacterial small subunit ribosomal RNA", at positions 26 to 518 of the family's 1533-position model. The record is from RNAcentral.
AGGAUGAACGCUGGCGGCGUGCCUAAUACAUGCAAGUCGAGCGGUAAGGCCACUUCGGUGGUACACGAGCGGCGGACGGCUGAGUAACACGUAGGAACGUACCCCAAAGUGAGGCAUAAGCACCAGAAAUGGUGUCUAAUACCGCAUGUGAUCUUCGGAUUAAAGCUUCGGCGCUUUGGGAACGGCCUGCGCAUGAUUAGCUUGUUGGUGAGGUAAUAGCUCACCAAGGCGACGAUCAUUAGCUGGUCUGAGAGGAUGACCAGCCAGACUGGGACUGAGAACGGCCCAGACUCCUACGGGAGGCAGCAGUAGGGAAUUUUCCGCAAUGGAGGCAACUCUGACGGAGCAACGCCGCGUGCAGGAGGAAGGUUUUCGGAUCGUAAACUGCUUUUCUCGGGGACGAGCAAGGACGGUACCCGAGGAAGAAGCCCGGCUAACUACGUGCCAGCAGCCGC